GAAGGAUGGAGGUAUAUCAACUCCAGUUUGUACUACAUCUCUACUGAGACCACGUCCUGGGAUGAGAGCAGACCUUACUGCCAACGGAAGGGAUUGGACCUGGUGACCAUAAACAGCAAAGACGAAGAGGACUUUCUCCUUGAAGUGGUCCGUGCAAAGAAUUUGGAUGUAGCCUGGAUUGGUUUUUCUCCCAACAACACGAAGGAGAUCUCUACACGGGUGAAGAGAGGUGUGGGGCCAGAAGAAGGUGCUCAGGAAGAGGACUGUGCUAAGCUUACGGUAUACGAGACACCUGCAGUGAAAGAAGUAACCGGGAGACAAUGUGGGACAA
This is a long non-coding RNA of Oncorhynchus gorbuscha (pink salmon), 331 nucleotides long. RefSeq lists it as uncharacterized. The record is from RefSeq and is a predicted model, not a curated record. NCBI's taxonomy places the organism in Eukaryota, Metazoa, Chordata, Actinopteri, Salmoniformes, Salmonidae. The transcript has 3 exons.